Cyanistes caeruleus (blue tit) is the source of this 2478-nucleotide long non-coding RNA. RefSeq lists it as uncharacterized. NCBI's taxonomy places the organism in Eukaryota, Metazoa, Chordata, Aves, Passeriformes, Paridae. The record is from RefSeq and is a predicted model, not a curated record.
CCCUCCUGUCCCCUCUUGUCCCCUCCUGUCCCCUCCCGUCCCCGCCGGUGCCGGGGUGGCCGCGGGAGCGGGAACGGAGCCGGGACAGCCCCGGGCAGGCAGCGCCUGUUCUGAGCCUCAGAGCUGCGGGAGGGAAAAUGUUGUCCUGCUCGUGAAGUGCUGGAAGUCUGGCCUGGAAGAAAUUAAUCUUUAUCCUCGUGAAAUGGCGUUGGUGCCCUGCACAGCCCUGAAAUUCCAACUGCCAGCUGAGCUCCUCUCUGAUUUUAAUGUGAAAUUGCUCUUAUUUAGGAACAGAAUCCACUCUGCUGCUUGUUCCUGGUGGGAAUUCAGGUGAAAAGGAAAGAAGCAAAAAAAAAAUGAGAUUUUGGAGCUCUUUGCUUCCAUCUUUGGGCAAACACAACUUUUUGUUGUAGGAGCAAUGAAUUUUGAGUGACUACGGAAAUAUUUUGGGGAAUUCAUCCCUGAGGGCUCAGCUGGAGGCACAGCUCAUGGAAAAACCCAACAACAACUUUCAGAGAGCCCAUCCUGCUCCCCAGUGAGGGAAUUCCGUGGGCACAGGGACAGGGAUGGCCUGAGGAUCCCGCUCUGGCCAUGUUUAAAUUGAUAUUUCUUACACAAAACCACAGAGAAUGCCAAAGUCUGGUUUGGAAAUGUUGCAGAACUCAAAACUCCCAAUGACAUCAGGGUUUUCAACCACGACUGAAGAUGCUCAAGAAGAACACUCUUCAAGGUUAGUGGAGUGUUGAUAACAAACACACCAUCUUUUCUUUUUAUUUCUGCAAUAUUUUCACAGCCACGCUACAUCACAAAUAAAAAAUAGCACCCACAGGAUGUCAGAGUAACAUCCAAAUGUGUGCAGCCCAAAUUCGGCCUGAUAAAUCCUUUCAGAAGGUUUGAUUUCCAUUUUCCUCCUGGUUUCUGUAAAUCUUUGGUGAAUAUUGGUUCUACCCAGGCAUUUCCUGCCAGGCAUUCCAGGGUGGUGGGCGUUCUCAGGGAUUCCUGGAUCUGAGGAUUUCUGUAACUGUUCCUGGGUGGAAGCAUCCAUCAGAACCCAGCAGUGACCAUUCCUUUGGAGCCAGUGAGCGAAGAGAAGCCUGUGAGUAUUUUUCUGAGGUUUUUAAGAGUGAGAAGUUAAGAUCCCUUGUCUUUAUAAGGCUGCCACCAAAUUAACAUAACCCAGAAAUCGUCAGCUCCAUUAUGAGCAGCUUUUCCUGCUCCCUCAGCAGCUCUGCCCUCACCAACCCCACGAUUUAGGGAAUAUUGUUUCCUGCUUCCAUGGCACACAAGUCUAAUUAAACCAUUUCUGCACCUUCCCUGGCCAUAACUCUUCAUUCCAGUAAUUAGAAGACACCCCAGUACAGAACUAGCUGCUUCAUCAGCUUUUAGGCUACGAGACUUAAAACUAACAUUUUCAAAAGCAUUUCAUGGUUUGAAAGAAUGGUCAAUUAACCUUCAGUUUCCUGGGGGGAACCCUGCAAAGAACUGUCAACAGUUCAGUUUAGAGAGAUUUGUCCAGUGACCUACAAGGCCACGAAGUUCACGAAUGCAUGGAAUGGUGUCAUCAUGGAUUUGUUCCCUGGGUUACUGUCACAAGAGAAAAACUGAUUUUUCUGCUACAGUAACAAGUGACCAAGGGGCAACAGGGACGACCCCGGUGCUUCCUUGGGCUCCUGGGCAAAACCAGGGCCACUCAAAAGGAAAAAAAAAACAACCCUGGUAUCUUCAGGAUGAAUUAUGUGUCUCUUUCUCUUCCUCCCAUAAGGUUCUUUUUUAAUCAGGGGCUGGGAGAUUCCUCUGCUGCCUGCUGGGUUUCUUUGUAUUUGGAAUUUUCUGCAAACAGCAGCAUAAGAUGAACGUCUGACGAUUGUGCUGGUGACAGUCUUCAGAUUUAAGUGAUAGCAACAUCUCGGUCUUUAUAGCAAAUUAAGGGUUUUCUGUGGAGCGCUGGGGAUUGAUCUGGGGAUGCACCUGCUGGAGGAACCCGUUCUGAGCCUGCCUCACCAUGAAUUGAUUUUAUUGUGAGAUUCCAAAGGAAACCAGAGUCUGCUCCUGGCCAUUGGAGGUAAAACAAUCUCUGGCUUCAUGAGGGAGGAAGAAUUAGCCAUAAAUAAAAUUGUCUUCUACGUAGGGUUUGAUACAAAAUUCGAAUCUUUGGCUUUGCUUUUACUUCAGUGCUCUGUAAAAACAGGGGUUUACUCCCAUUUCAGAAGCUGCACGGAAAAAUUGAUUUUGUUUUCUUCUACUCAUCAUCAAAACAUUUUCCUUGGCCAACCUUACACAUCCCUACAUUAAAUCUGAUUUUUCUGGCUUUUCUCAUUUUGCCACACCCAAGGUCAGGGUCAUUGCUCCAUGACUGGAACUGUCUCCAUUAUAGUUUAAAACAUUUCAGUUGAUUCUGUGUAGUGCUCCAAACUUAAGAUUUUAAGAUAUGAAGUAAUCAGAAGGGUUUUCUUAAGGAAAAAUCCUUGUACUUAGAGA